GGGAAGGUGGCUCAGUGGUAGAGCGUUUGCCUUGCAUGCAUAAGGCCCUGGUUCUAUUCCU
RNAcentral lists this transfer RNA (61 nucleotides) under Dipodomys ordii (Ord's kangaroo rat). It matches the Rfam family "tRNA", at positions 1 to 61 of the family's 71-position model. From Rfam's summary of the family: Transfer RNA (tRNA) molecules are approximately 80 nucleotides in length. Their secondary structure includes four short double-helical elements and three loops (D, anti-codon, and T loops). Lineage: Eukaryota; Metazoa; Chordata; Mammalia; Rodentia; Heteromyidae. The record is from Rfam by way of RNAcentral.